CGUAGGGAGCAAGCGUUGUCCGGAUUCACUGGGUGUAAAGGGUGCGUAGGCGGGAGAAUAAGUCAGCGGUGAAAUCUUACGGCUCAACCGUGAAACUGCCGUUGAUACUGUUUUCCUUGAGUUCGGGAGAGGUUGAUAGAAUUCCAGGUGUAGCGGUGAAAUGCGUAGAUAUCUGGAAGAAUACCAGUGGCGAAGGCGGUCAACUGGCCCGAAACUGACGCUGAGGCACGAAAGCGUGGGGAGCGAACAGGAUUAGAUACCCUGGUAGUGCACGCCCUAAACGAUGAAUGCUUGGUGUUGGCUUUAAAUAGUCAGUGCCGGAGGAAACCUGGUAAGCAUUCCACCUGGGGAGUACGCUCGCAAGGGUG
This 368-nucleotide ribosomal RNA is filed under the name uncultured organism. Its description in RNAcentral is "bacterial SSU rRNA". It matches the Rfam family "Bacterial small subunit ribosomal RNA", at positions 526 to 896 of the family's 1533-position model. The record is from RNAcentral.